RNAcentral lists this ribosomal RNA (497 nucleotides) under uncultured bacterium. RNAcentral describes it as "partial 16S ribosomal RNA". It matches the Rfam family "Bacterial small subunit ribosomal RNA", at positions 28 to 507 of the family's 1533-position model. The record is from RNAcentral.
GAUGAACGCUGGCGGCGUGCCUAAUACAUGCAAGUCGAGCGAACAGACGAGGAGCUUGCUCCUUCGACGUUAGCGGCGGACGGGUGAGUAACACGUAGGUAACCUACCUAUAAGACUGGGAUAACUUCGGGAAACCGGAGCUAAUACCGGAUAAUAUUUCGAACCGCAUGGUUCGAUAGUGAAAGAUGGCUUUGCUAUCACUUAUAGAUGGACCUGCGCCGUAUUAGCUAGUUGGUAAGGUAACGGCUUACCAAGGCAACGAUACGUAGCCGACCUGAGAGGGUGAUCGGCCACACUGGAACUGAGACACGGUCCAGACUCCUACGGGAGGCAGCAGUAGGGAAUCUUCCGCAAUGGGCGAAAGCCUGACGGAGCAACGCCGCGUGAGUGAUCAAGGUCUUCGGAUCGUAAAACUCUGUUAUUAGGGAAGAACAAACGUGUAAGUAACUGUGCACGUCUUGACGGUACCUAAUCAGAAAGCCACGGCUAACUACGUG